Molecule: non-coding RNA, 122 nt
Organism: Populus trichocarpa (black cottonwood)
Lineage: Eukaryota; Viridiplantae; Streptophyta; Magnoliopsida; Malpighiales; Salicaceae
Source: Rfam
GGGUGCCGAUUAUAACCCAGCACUAAUGCACUGGAUCCCAUCAGAACUCCGUAGUUAAACGUGCUUUGGCGAGAGUAGUACUAGGAUGGGUGACCUCCUGGGAAGUCCUCGUGUUGCACCCC